RNAcentral lists this ribosomal RNA (274 nucleotides) under uncultured bacterium. Its description in RNAcentral is "partial 16S ribosomal RNA". It matches the Rfam family "Bacterial small subunit ribosomal RNA", at positions 523 to 796 of the family's 1533-position model. The record is from RNAcentral.
AUACAGAGGGUGCGAGCGUUAAUCGGAAUUACUGGGCGUAAAGCGCGCGUAGGCGGUUAUUUAAGUCAGAUGUGAAAUCCCUGGGCUCAACCUAGGAACUGCAUCUGAAACUGGAUAACUCGAGUUUAGGAGAGGGGAGUAGAAUUUCGGGUGUAGCGGUGAAAUGCAUAGAGAUCCGAAGGAAUACCAGUGGCGAAGGCGACUCCCUGGCCUAGAACUGACGCUGAGGUGCGAAAGCGUGGGUAGCAAACGGGAUUAGAUACCCUAGUAGUCC